This 166-nucleotide unclassified non-coding RNA is filed under the name uncultured Trichoderma. Its description in RNAcentral is "sequence contains ITS2". Lineage: Eukaryota; Fungi; Ascomycota; Sordariomycetes; Hypocreales; Hypocreaceae. The record is from RNAcentral.
CAACCCUCGAACCCCUCCGGGGGGUCGGCGUUGGGGAUCGGCCCUUUACGGGGCCGGCCCCGAAAUACAGUGGCGGUCUCGCCGCAGCCUAUCCAGCGCAGUAGUUUGCACACUCGCAUCGGGAGCGCGGUGCGUCCAUUGCCGUAAAACACCCAACUAUCUGAAA